CCUUGCUGCUCUAACAUAUGCCUUUAAAAAAUAUGGCCGAAGCAGUGUAAAUUGUAUCUAUAAAAUGCAUAUUGCUCAUUCAAUUUACGUUUGCAAAUUGCAAUUAUAUAAUUGCCACUUAAAACAUUGUGCUGUUUGAGCAUUACUGUGCUUUUAUGUAUGGGCAAACAGUUUUAAACUGUUGCAUCUGUUAACAUCUAUCAGUUUCCCUUCCCUUCUCUUCCCUAACACCACAGAGCUGUCAACACUGCGUGGCUUUAUUCCAUUUGGGGAUUACCAACAAGAAAACGUUCUCCUGUCCAUUUAAGAAGACACCAGCAAAUGGAGGAAAAAGAGGGGAUGGCUGGGGACAUGACACACAGGCACAGGUUCAAUGCAGAACAAUCCCCUAUGUGUUCUGACUGAAGACAGCAGGAAGAGGAGACACGAAGCUGGAUUUUCCACAGUAUUUCUCAAACGUUGUUAAACUCCCACUUGUCACAGUUUAUGGCUGCAUUCUUUCUCCUGCUCUGAGUUGAAACAAUUUUCAGUGGGAGUCCUUUGCAGUGGAUACUUCAGAAUUGUUGGCUCUGGUUUUGCUCUCUUAUAUCUUACUCUCACGAGACGACACCGUGUCCUCAAAAAAUGCCCAUACCAACCUAAAAAUCUCUAAUGUUGGCAUAAAUUAGUAUCAUGCUCAUAUCUUUUCUGUAUUUUUUCCCUUAGUUUGUUUCUAAGAUCUUACUCUUGCCCGACCCUUAUCUGUGCAUGCUUGAAGUUAGGAAUAUGAGUAACCCCGUGGAAAUGCUAAUGUUUGCAGACCUUGCUUUGUAAAUCAAGAGAUCUUCUUGUGUGUGAGUCUUGUAAGACAUUCUCUUUGGUGACAUUACUUAUAACAUCUGGGGACAUCACGUCAUUGUAGCUCAUUAGAUCUGCAAUUGGCAUGGCAGAAGCCAGCCUAACAGCUCUGAAGAUGUGUUACCAGCAGGGCAGGGAUUGCGUGGCAGGCAUCAGAAGGCAAAGUUCAGC
This 1008-nucleotide long non-coding RNA is filed under the name Cairina moschata (Muscovy duck). RNAcentral's name for it is "domestica (muscovy Duck (domestic type)) lncRNA (ENSCMMG00000002526.1)". Lineage: Eukaryota; Metazoa; Chordata; Aves; Anseriformes; Anatidae. The record is from RNAcentral.